RNAcentral lists this ribosomal RNA (292 nucleotides) under uncultured bacterium. RNAcentral's name for it is "partial 16S ribosomal RNA". It matches the Rfam family "Bacterial small subunit ribosomal RNA", at positions 505 to 796 of the family's 1533-position model. The record is from RNAcentral.
GUGUCAGCCGCCGCGGUAAUACGUAGGGGGCGAGCGUUGUCCGGAGUUACUGGGCGUAAAGGGCACGCAGGCGGUGCUGCGCGUUUCGCGUGACAGCGGGUGGCUUAACUACCCGAGGAUGCGAAAGACGGCAGGACUUGAGGGCCAGAGAGGGACACGGAAUUCCGGGUGGAGUGGUGAAAUGCGUAGAGAUCCGGAGGAACACCGAAGGCGAAGGCAGUGUCCUGGCUGGUGACUGACGCUGAGGUGCGAAAGCUAGGGGAGCGAACGGGAUUAGAAACCCCCGUAGUCC